GCAGUGGCCUGGCUCUGCCGCUGGCAUCGAAAGGGUGCGAGAGGAAAGUCCGGGCAGCAUAGGACGUCCCACUUCUGAAAAUGGAAGCUGUUGGUGACAAUAGGUAAAGGUAGAAGAAAAUAACCGCCCCUGGGUGUGCUGUUUUUCAGUGUGCGCGAUGGGGUAAGGGUGAGAAGGCGGUGUAAGAGACCACCAACCGAUGGGCGAUCAUCGGGUUGUACCUUCUGGGAGCUGCAAGUUCGCGUAUACCAUCGUUUGAAGGUUGUCCGCCUGAAACAUGUUUACGAUGGAGGGUAGAAUGCUUGAGCCAUGGGGUGACCUAUGGUCUAGAUAAAUGGCAGGCACUUUUAGUCCUUGUGACAUUGAAGUACAGAACCCGGCUUAUAGGGCCACUGCUUUC
RNAcentral lists this RNase P RNA (400 nucleotides) under Hoylesella shahii DSM 15611 = JCM 12083. RNAcentral describes it as "Prevotella shahii DSM 15611 = JCM 12083 Bacterial RNase P class A". It matches the Rfam family "Bacterial RNase P class A". From Rfam's summary of the family: Ribonuclease P (RNase P) is a ubiquitous endoribonuclease, found in archaea, bacteria and eukarya as well as chloroplasts and mitochondria. Its best characterised activity is the generation of mature 5'-ends of tRNAs by cleaving the 5'-leader elements of precursor-tRNAs. Lineage: Bacteria; Pseudomonadati; Bacteroidota; Bacteroidia; Bacteroidales; Prevotellaceae. The record is from RNAcentral.